Molecule: non-coding RNA, 6086 nt
Organism: Cyanistes caeruleus (blue tit)
Lineage: Eukaryota; Metazoa; Chordata; Aves; Passeriformes; Paridae
Source: RefSeq, a predicted model, not a curated record
GUAAUGAUAACUUUAAUGUACCCAUAAAGACAGUACUUAUGCUGGGAAUAAAAUAAUCAUAGUAUGUAAUUAAAACUUUGUUACCCAAAGGUGAAGAUUUCUUUUAGAAUGUGACUAGGAAUUAUUGAAUUUAUUUUACAGAUAGAAGAAUGUGAGGAAAAUGUGUACUGACCCCCAGUAAGCCACUGUAAGUCACCAAGAGCUGGAAAAGAACAAAAGCCCACCAAUUCUGUGGGCAUCCUGUUUUGUGGGUUAUGUUUUUCGCCUAAUCUGAGAGAAAUUCAGUUCAUGGUGAGCAGGCAUUCAUAAUCCCUGAUUUGCAGCAUAGGAAGGGCACUAGGAGCAAAUUCUUCUCAAUGAAUAGAGAGGGAUGAGGAAGUAAAUACAUUCACACAUUUAGCAUUAGACACUCCAAUGCCCAGGCUAGGGACCUGCACUCUUUCUGGAGUUAACUGACCCUUGUGCUCCCAAUGUACAGAGCCUGCAGAGCUACUUCCCUAAAUUAGUCUCCCAAGUCAGGUAGCAAAAGCUGUAAGGAAGAGCAUCUUCCAAUUAAUGUACACAAUUUAAUUUUAAUUCUUACAUUGCUUCUGUAUUCAGGCUAAAUAUUAAUUUAAGCUGAAGAAUGUUUUGAUGUGUAAAUAAACUGGUGUUACAGACACUCCUUCUCUCUUCAGCAAGGCUAUGACAGGCUGGUGUGGCUUCCAUUGGCAUCUCCUCACUUUUUCAUGUUAAUAAUCUGUGAAGUUCAAACACUAUACAGAAAAGGGAUCAGCCUCUUUUUGCAGUAGCUUUGAACUUUCUUUAUUCAAAAGGGCAACUAGAACUAUAAUUAGGUACAGCUAGCUGUCAUUAUUUAGCUCAUUCAUUAUUUAUAUCUUCCUCCCACAGUGCCUGUGAACCUCACAUCUUGUGUUGUCAGAGAUAGGAGUCUGAAUGUUGCUUUCAAAAGCUCCAAGUAACACAGUACUCCCUGUGGUAUGGCCCUGGAUUUGUAAUCUGGGCUUCAGGGUGCUGACCUAGUGCAACCAAUGAUGUUACAGCCUGUAGCAUCCCAUGCUCAGAAUUUGCUGAGGCAAUCUCUCUCCACCUUUCAGGCAAGCAAUCAGAGAUGAACCCUCCAGCAGACAGCUACUCCCUGCAUGUACUCUAAUCCUUGUCAAUCCCUCACUGAGAUCUCUCUCCACCUCCUGCUGGUAUGCAGAUUAAUCUUUCUGGGAUGCCUUCUUCUCCAAAUCCUUCUCUGUGAAGGACUAGCAGAUGGAAAACCAAGAACUUGAGAACAGCCUGGUGCUGUCAUACAGAGAAUGCUCUUUCCAUCUUGGACGCUGUCCUUGUGCAGUGACAAGAGAUCACCUGGCUUCAAACUGCCAGCUCAGGUUUGGCAUCAGUUCAACCACUUGGGCUACAGAAGGGUGAGUCAUGAACAAAAACCAAGUGCAUGGGAUUUCCUGGGCAGGCCCUUGUGCAGGUCUGGUUGAAGUGGGUUCUGUGGAAAAUCUAUUACAAUAUGCAUUGUCCAACUGUUUCAUCUUUGCCCUGUGCUGCCCACUAGGAAGAAAUUUCCUGUGUGUAUGAAUAUUUAAUACAACUUUUAAAUUCUUUGUUAAAGUUCCUCUUUGCUCUGAUGACAACACUUAAGACUGCUGGAACUGAUAGCAGACACACUGGUGGGUACUGAUGUGUCAUUUUCUUGCACUUGCCCAUCUGUCCUCUCCUGUUUAAUGCUUUGAUUUAACCUCCUGGAGGCAACGUAGAACUUAAGAGAGGCUUUACUCAGAGGAACUGUUCCAAUGACCAAACUAGUUCUAAUGUAAAAAAGCUAUAUUGGAAAUUACUGUAAUGACUUGAGUGGAAGAGUGAUGUAAAGGAAAGGAGAACCAAAUCCCAGUUUUGGCAGAUGCAUUCUUCUCUCUCGCAGUUUCUCCUCCAUUUGUGGUGUGGAUGAUUCUAAACUGCCAAAUGUAAUAUUUAUUAUCUCAAAAUCUGCUCAAAUCAGUAGAUGUUCACUGCUUGGAAUGCUGUCUUUCCUAUUUUGCACAAUCUAACUGUAAUUGGUGUUAAGUUAUUCUUAUUUAUUAUGGAAAUACAAAAUGUGUUACUGUGCUCUUAAUCUGCAUAGACUGAAACCAUCUGCUGUGGUUCACAGUUGAAGAACAGAAGAUUAUAAAUUCCCUCUAGUAUUUGUAUCCAGCCCUCAUUAAACAAGUAAUCAUUACUGCUACCAAGUUGUAAGUCAGAGAAGUGCACAAUCAUCAUCUUAACAUUUAAGCAUAUGAAUGACCAAUUCUUUUUUGUAGAAAACCCAAUAUUUACAUGCACAUUUACCUUUUUACUGACAGGAGAAGGCAGCUUAAAGUGGCCCAGGUAGAGUAGGAGUAGAGGGUGUUCUCAAAUGAGUCAGUGAUUAGCUCCAUGCUGAGUGAAAGGUGAUUUGACAAAAAAAAAAAAGAAAAAGGAAAGUCAUGAUGUAUUCAGUUGCAGGAUGACCUAGUUUACCUAUAGAAUGUCAGGAAGCAAGACUCAGUAGGGAUAACUUUGCAGUGAGAAGACCUUUUUGAGAAAUAUAUUUUGUUUGUGUUGUACCCAAAUAUGCUACAGGUCUGCUUGAGUUAAAGCAGAAACAUGAGGCGUCCUGCUUGCCUUGUACCCAGACAUAUCACGAGACUGUUUGACUUAGGAAGUGAAAUAUCGUGUAACGCCUGUUUGCUCAGCAUAGUUAUACAAAAAUAGUAGAGCUGAGGUAAUCGUACCCAGACUGCAAAGACCUGAAUCAGACAGUCAGCAUGCAGUCUGCAAAACACCCACCUGGAGAGGCUGGGCUGGACCUGCACACAGAAGGGUGUAAAAUCUGUCUGGCAGACAGAACAGACUGACUCUGACCUAGAAAAAGAGGAAGAAAACCUUUGGACCAGACUGGUCUUGAUCUACAGGAAAGCUGUGUCUAAAUGGAAGUGAUACACAGUGGAGAUUGGGGAAGGGAGAGUAUGCCCCCUUUAGUUCUGGCUUCCCAUGGAGAAGUUGGAGAGCUGUCAAACUCAGCCACCAUUGCCUUGGAGGCUAAGAAUUGUCAAAUGAUAUAACCAUCAGAAACCACAAUGCAGCAGCAGUGUCACAGUAUUGUAGAUCUAAGGCUUCAUGUUUAGGUCUGUAUGUUUAAACAUUGCUUGAUUUUUAUUUGUUGACAGGGGGUUUGCCUAAAAGCUGAGCAUAAACAGAUGCCUUCUUGAAGUAUUGACUGACUCACCCUCUCAGAUCUCUUCCAUUACAGUGGUCCUUGGAGCUCAGAUGCAAAGUCAGAAAAAAGCAGAUUCUGGUACCAACACCGGUUUACCAGGCCUUGCAGGAUCUGAGAAGAAACUCCUGCCAGGGGAUGUAGUACCACACAGAAGCUGAGGACAGGAACAGGGUAUCUGUGAGUCCAGUGACCAGUCUCUUGUGCAAAACAUAUUUUGGAUGAUGCUGCUGCACUCUUUCUGGAACUGUUUACUCAAUGUAUUUGUUGUAUUUGCAGAACAUUUUACAAACAAGGUAGGUCAAAUUUUUUCCUUGUUGACAUAAUUCAACAGACUACACAUAGGUUAGCUGGAAGUAAUGUGGUCCAGUUAGUUUUGUUUACAGAUUUAUUCAAUAUUAAUUUUAAACUCUAAGUUUACACCUAGCUUUCUGUCUGACCUUAGGAUGGGAAAGUGCCAAGGCCCAUUUUUCACUUGUUAAAAAUUACACCUGUGAAUAAAUGUAAGAAACUUUCAGGCCUUUAUCAUUAGAUUUUAAUUGUAUUUUCUUUAAAAAAAAACCAAACAACUUUCAACCAUUGGUCUUUAAACUGUUUUCCAAAGAAAAGUUCUUUUUUCUAUCCAUUUAAGGGAGCAGGUUCACUCAUAAUUACCCUGGCCUGACUUCUAGAGGAAGCAAUAUACUAAGAUCUAAGAUGUCAAAAGGAGGAACCACAGAGCUUCUUGGUAGAUUUAGUCUAGAGUCAGUUCAAAGAGGCUGAACCUUUUGCUGACUUUAAAUAUACAACAUUUAUUUUCUAUCACAGAAAAAAAUUUAGAAAAAGGAGGUGAUACAAGGCAGUGUUGUGACCCUGUGAAUGCCUCAGAGAGUUUUCAACAGCCUAAGUUGACAGGCAGAGCUCCUCAGGCACAGACACCCUCAGAACUGGGUAGGUGUAAAACUAUCUUCACAUCUAAAGAUCUAGUAAGAUGACUCAAGCAUGGCACAGAAUCUCACCUCAGUGCUUUAUAUCACUGUACUUCCCAUAUGUCAUUAUGAAUAUAACACUUCUCCCUCAGUCUGGAAAGGCCUGAAAUAAUGAGCUUUAUCCUCACAGCAUCUUUAUGCCUGGAUAAAUAUUAUGCUAGUUUGUUUCUGAAGAUCAUAGCCUUUGUAGCCAAGCCUUAUAGAUGCUGUAAAGACCUGACUUCAGAGAAGAUAUAAAAAUAAUUGUGACUCCUUUUAUCAUGUAUGAUGCAAAUAGCAUACCUAAGUCGGUUUGGUUAGGCAGCCCUCUCAUCUGAUUUAAAACUGUCAAACUGCUCUCCUUGUGUCUCACACAUACUUACAUCCAGAAAUAUUCUUUUUGUUCAAAGUAAACGGAAAUAGACCCCUUUUCAAACAACGUGUACUUCAAUGUGGAACAUAUUGCCAUGCAGAGAAUCCAAAGGCAGAUUUUAUGCAUGUUGAGAAGAUGGAAAUGGAACAAAUCCAUUAUUUGUACCCCCACUAAAUAAAAAAAAAAGCCACCAAAACUAUGAAGCACAAACAUCACCUCUGUGUGAGUGCCUGAGCUCCAAGCUGCUAGGAAUGGUGAGGAUUUGUCAUCAGUAUUUGGUUGCUCCAUUAAAAUGUGACAUACUGCUGGCCACUGCUGGACUGGAUGGGUCUUCAAUGUGACCUCCUGCGGCCAAUUCCAUUUUCACACACUAUGUUUUUAACAUACAAGCGGACAACAAAGGCCUGUGCUGAUACUGUGUUUUAGAAGGCAAAAUCAUAAACAGUAAGUCCCUGUGAGGGUUCUUUCAGAUAUUCAGUUCACUUCAAGUAAUUACACUUCACAAAAAAACUGAGAGAUUUUUUAAAGGAAGUUUUUUUUUUUAUAGAUUAGCGUUUGUUAAAAGAAUAGGUUUGAGUCGUGAAGAAUGCAUCUAGUCUUGAAAGGCUGGCAUUUGUGAGGCUGCACUGUUACAUACUAAGAGAUGCUAAAUUUGCCUUUCUCCAUUUCAUCAUGGUGAGCACUGAAUUCAACUAGGUUUGGUCAACAAUUGCAUUAGAGCUUCCUCGUGAAGGUUUGAGUGGUUGCUUUAUUCUGACUUCUUCAUGACUGCUUCUUCAUGACUUCUGCUUAUUCAUGACUUGUUAUCAUGAAACAAAUGGGUGAAUUAAAGGUCAGGAUUUGUUAUGAGAGAUGGACAGUCGUGAGCAAAGCGCUGACUGCUGUUGGAGCAGUGCCUUGUUCUGCCGCAGCUGCUGGCUCCAUCCUGUGAUCCAGUUGCACCAAGAGGAGUACAGGGCUGCACUUGCCAGUUGUAAAGGCCAAGCUGAUGGAAAACAUCCAGCUGUGGUUCAGAACACUGCGAGGAGUGCUGCAGCUCCGCCGGCAGCACCUGGUGGGCUUAGGGAGGACGCGGAGCCCGGUGCGCAGACGGAGCUCGCUUCAAGCCUGGUUAUUGAGUGCCACCCAGUGGGGGCUGCCUUAUCCGGGAAUGGAGCUGGGAAUACACGGAUGCCUACAGGGUCAAAGCACACUGGGCUGGUAGAGCUUUUUUUUGUUGUUGUUGGGUUUUUUGUUGUUGUUUUUGGAGGGGGGUUGCUAGUUAAAAAAAAACCCGAGGACUACUUAUUUUCAUAUGAAAUAUAUCAAUUAGAGUGUCUGCUAGCUGUUACUGUGCAAAGAUUCUGUUUGCAUUCAUCUGUGAUUUUGUGCAGUGAUUUCUAUUUUUGGGUUCAUUAUGGCCUUGUAAGCAGCCUUUUUAAGCUAUGGGUAAUAAAGUAUUUCCACUUUAACCAUGGUAGCAUAAAGUGGCCACACAUGUGUUAGAGGUAUUGUUUGUAUAUUUUAAAUAAAUAAAGCAUAUUGGAGCAGA